UGCGUAGGCGGCCACGCGUGUCUUUCGUGAAAUCCCUCGGCUUAACUGAGGACGUGCGGAAGAAACUGCGAGGCUGGAGUCCGGGAGAGGGGGUGGAAUUCCCAGUGUAGCGGUGAAAUGCGUAGAUAUUGGGAGGAACACCGGUGGCAAAGGCGGCCCCCUGGACCGGUACUGACGCUGAUGCGCGAAAGCGUGGGGAGCAAACG
Molecule: ribosomal RNA, 206 nt
Filed under: uncultured bacterium
Lineage: Bacteria
Description: partial 16S ribosomal RNA
Rfam family: Bacterial small subunit ribosomal RNA
Source: RNAcentral